GAUGAACGCUGGCGGCGUGCCUAAUACAUGCAAGUCGAGCGAACAGACGAGGAGCUUGCUCCUCUGACGUUAGCGGCGGACGGGUGAGUAACACGUGGAUAACCUACCUAUAAGACUGGGAUAACUUCGGGAAACCGGAUCUAAUACCGGAUAAUAUAUUGAACCGCAUGGUUCAAUAGUGAAAGACGGUUUUGCUGUCACUUAUAGAUGUAUCCGCGCCGCAUUAGCUAGUUGGUAAGGUAACGGCUUACCAAGGCAACGAUGCGUAGCCGACCUGAGAGGGUGAUCGGCCACACUGGAACUGAGACACGGACCAGACUCCUACGGGAGGCAGCAGUAGGGAAUCUUCCGCAAUGGGCGAAAGCAUGACGGAGCAACGCCGCGUGAGUGAUGAAGGUCUUCGGAUCGUAAAACUCUGUUAUUAGGGAAGAAAAAAUGUGUAAGUAACUAUGCACGUAUUGACGGUACCUAAUCAGAAAGCAACGGCUAACUACGUG
RNAcentral lists this ribosomal RNA (497 nucleotides) under uncultured bacterium. Its description in RNAcentral is "partial 16S ribosomal RNA". It matches the Rfam family "Bacterial small subunit ribosomal RNA", at positions 28 to 507 of the family's 1533-position model. The record is from RNAcentral.